AUCUGGUUGAUCCUGCCAGGGGCGACCGCCUUGGGAGUUCGAUUAAGCCAUGCGAGUAGAAAGAAAUUAUAUUCUUUGCAUACUGCUCAAUAGCACCUGGAUAACCUGCCCUACUCUGGGGGAUAAUCUCGGGAAACUGAGGAUAAUACCCCAUUCACCACUACACCUGGAACGGUGAGUGGUUGAAAGCUCAAGGGGUGUAGGAUGGGUCUGCGGCGUAUCAGGUCGUAGGGGGUGUAAUGGACCUCCUAGCCAUCGACGCGUACGGGUUGUGGGAGCAAUAGCCCGGAGACGGAUUCUGAGACACAAAUCCGGACCCUACGGGGUGCAGCAGGCGCCUAAACUUCACACUGCAGGAAACUGUGAUGAGGGAACUCCUUCUGACUGCGGAUGUGUAGCCUUUUCUUGAAUUUUAAUAGUUCUUGGAAUAAGGGCUGGGAAAGACCGGUGCCA
This 453-nucleotide ribosomal RNA is filed under the name uncultured Candidatus Poseidoniales archaeon. Its description in RNAcentral is "bacterial SSU rRNA". It matches the Rfam family "Archaeal small subunit ribosomal RNA", at positions 1 to 460 of the family's 1478-position model. The record is from RNAcentral. Lineage: Archaea; Methanobacteriati; Thermoplasmatota; Candidatus Poseidoniia; Candidatus Poseidoniales.